RNAcentral lists this ribosomal RNA (565 nucleotides) under uncultured Gemmatimonadota bacterium. Its description in RNAcentral is "bacterial SSU rRNA". It matches the Rfam family "Bacterial small subunit ribosomal RNA", at positions 357 to 912 of the family's 1533-position model. Lineage: Bacteria; Pseudomonadati; Gemmatimonadota. The record is from RNAcentral.
GGGGAUCUUGCGCUAUGGCCGAAAGGCUGACGCAGCGACGCCGCGUGAGGGAUGACGGCCUUCGGGUUGUAAACCUCUGUUGCCCGGGACGAACAGCCGCAUUCGUGCGGCCUGACGGUACCGGGUGAGGAAGCACCGGCUAACUCUGUGCCAGCAGCCGCGGUAAUACAGAGGGUGCGAGCGUUGUCCGGAAUCACUGGGCGUAAAGGGCGCGUAGGCGGCCCCUUAAGCGGGUGGUGAAAGCGCGGUGCUCAACCCCGCGUCGGCCAUGCGAACUGGGGGGCUGGAGCACGUCAGAGGCAGGCGGAAUUCCGGGUGUAGCGGUGGUAUGCGUAGAGAUCCGGAAGAACACCGGUGGCGAAGGCGGCCUGCUGGGACGUGGCUGACGCUGAGGCGCGACAGCGUGGGGGAGGCAACACAGGAUUUAGAUUACCUUGGUUAGUCCCACGCUGUAACGAUGGGUACUAGGGUGCUGGGGGGAGCGACCCCCCCUGGGGUGCCGGCGCUAACGCAUUAAGUACCCGCCUGGGGUGUACGGCCGUCAAGGCUGAACUCAAAGGAAUUG